RNAcentral lists this ribosomal RNA (503 nucleotides) under uncultured fungus. Its description in RNAcentral is "SSU rRNA". It matches the Rfam family "Eukaryotic small subunit ribosomal RNA", at positions 249 to 755 of the family's 1831-position model. Lineage: Eukaryota; Fungi. The record is from RNAcentral.
GAUCAUGAUAACUAGUCGAAUCGACAGGCCUUGUGCCGGCGAUGGCUCAUUCAAAUUUCUUCCCUAUCAACUUUCGAUGUUUGGGUAUUGGCCAAACAUGGUGGCAACGGGUAACGGAGGGUUAGGGCUCGACCCCGGAGAAGGAGUCUGAGAAACGGCUACUACAUCCAAGGAAGGCAGCAGGCGCGCAAAUUACCCAAUCCCGACACGGGGAGGUAGUGACAAUAAAUACUGAUACAGGGCUCUUUUGGGUCUUGUAAUCGGAAUGAGUACAAUUUAAAUCCCUUAACGAGGAACAAUUGGAGGGCAAGUCUGGUGCCAGCAGCCGCGGUAAUUCCAGCUCCAAUAGCGUAUAUUAAAGUUGUUGUGGUUAAAAAGCUCGUAGUUGAACCUUGGGCCUGGCUGGCCGGUCCGCCUCACCGCGUGCACUGGUCCGGCCGGGCCUUUCCCUCUGCGGAACCCCAUGCCCUUCACUGGGUGUGGCGGGGAACCAGGACUUUUAC